UCCGAAUUAAGAAAUACAAACAAUGAUCCCAAAAUGUCCAGGAAGAGAAAAGUUGAUGCAGAUGGAAAGCUGUUUCUAGAAAGAUGGGAAGGCGAAAUAUAUGUUUGUGCUUCAAGGAGAAAAACCGGAAUGUGUUUUGUGUUAUGAAGCAGUGUCGGUUGUCAAAGAGUACAAUCUACUGUGUUUGGUGACCAAACACGGAGCUGAGGAUGUGUUCAAGAGAGCCACAACCAAACACAAUGCGGCGGUGAAAGCCAGCUUUAUUGUGGCUGAAGAAAUCGCCCGCGCUGCAAAGUCUUUUUCUGCAAAGUGCAUUUUUGAAGCAGUGCAUGCUGAAGGUCUGUGAGCAGGUGUGUCCCGACCAGAUACAGACUUUUAACUCCACUCAUUGUGGACCGAGUUAAGGAACUAGCUAGCAGAAAAACCUGCUAAACACAGCUGGCCGAAGAGACACGCAGCUACAAAGCUUUUUCAUUAGCUCUUGAUGAAAGCACAGACAACACGGAUGCAGCGCAGCUCUCUGUUUUUUAUUAGAGGCGUUAAGUCGGACCUUUCUGUCACCGAGGAGCUGUUGGAUGCAGCUGCCAACAACAACAGGACGGGACAGUUUUGAUGCGGUGAAGUCCGUAAGUAAAAAAAAAAUGCAUUGCCCUGGGAAAAGGUGGUGGGAUUAACUACAGACGGUGCACCUGCAAUGUGUGGAGGAAAAGCGGGUUUUGUUGGACUAAUGAAGGAGAAAAUGCAAAAAAAAAAGUAACUGUCACAAGCCUCUGAUGACGUAUCAUUGCAUUAUCCAUCAAGGAGCUUUGUGUGGGAAGGUGCUGGGGAUGAAUGAUAUAGUGACCACAGUCAUGAAAACAGUGAACUUCCUUCGGGCGCGUGGCCUAAAUCAUCGUCAGCUCCAGCUGUUCUUGCAGGAGAUGGAGCAGGGCGACGUGCCGUACCAUACAGAAGUACGGUGGCUGAGUAGGAGCAAAGUCCUGAAACGAUUUUUUGAGCUUAGGGAAGAUAUUGCUCUUUUCAAGCAGAGUAAAGGAAAACCCCUUGUCUGAACUGUCAGAUCCAAACUGGCUGUGUGACUUUGCUUUGUUGUGUGACGUAACUGAGCAUCACGCGGCUUUCCAGCGUAAACUUGAUCUAUGGAUGUACCACGUGAAACAGGACAAUCUUGCCCACUUUCCUGUUUGUCGGAGCAUCUCAGCCGCAUUUCCUGGUACUUUUUCAUGUACUCAGCUGGCUGCCAAACUGAGCCGGUUAAUGGAUGAGUUUGAUCUCUGACCUUAGAGCACAGCACUCAGGCUUUGCCAUCUUUGCCAAUCCUUUCACCACCGACGUCUGCACUGCACCCCAACAUCUUCAGAUGGAGUUAAUACAGCUUCAAAGCGAUAGUGGCCUGAGAGCAAAGUUCCAGAAUGCUGCAAUCCAGGACUUUUACCGCCAACUAUCCCCUGGUUUGAUGCCACAGCUUCACGCUGCCCGUGUUCUGUCUGUGUAUGGGAGCACCUUUCUGUGCUGAGCAGAUGUUUUCAAUCAUGAAUCUAAACAAGACCAAGCACAGAUCACGCAUCACUGAAGACAACCUCCAUGCUGUUCUGCCUCAGCACAAGACCUAAAACCAGACUGACACACUGGCGAUGGAAAAAAGGUGUCAGAUAUCUGGUCAGAAAAACACAUAGAACAUGAUCAAGGGAUGAGGAAGGUGGAGAGAGGAUUCAUGUGGCAGCAUCUCCUCAUCAACUUCACCUUAAAACUUGACCAAUAUAGGUGUGAACUGAGACAACCCUUGUGUUGUUAUUUUGAGUUUAUUACAUAUACUACGUUAUAUGUGUAGUAAUGUAUUUAGUGUUUGCAGGUUUAUGUGUUGAUGCAGACAAAUGUUCACUGUCAUCAAACCAUCAUUAGUUGGAUGUUUCCCCCUUGCAAAGCUGUGUGCAGCCAUUUGUUUGUGUAAAAUGCUUCACCUGUCACACACGUUCUUAGCAGCUCACAAUUGUUGGUUGGACCGUUAUUCUGCUCCUCUCAACUAUGACAAAACAGUUUUGAACAAAGUUAAUGUCAUAACUUGUUAUUUAUCCUUCUUCACUUGGAUAGUUUGAUCGUUGAUUGAUGGAGUGAUGUGGGUUUCAUAAACUGACAAAUUAAAAGGAUUUAUGUUACAACAGAGCAACAACCAAACAUUUCCUUUUACAUUUAUGCAAAUAUAUAUGUAAUAUUUGUAAGUUGAAUAAUAAAAAUCCAGAGUUAUUUAA
Seriola aureovittata is the source of this 2249-nucleotide long non-coding RNA. RefSeq lists it as uncharacterized. The transcript has 2 exons. NCBI's taxonomy places the organism in Eukaryota, Metazoa, Chordata, Actinopteri, Carangiformes, Carangidae. The record is from RefSeq and is a predicted model, not a curated record.